GACGUAGGGCGCGAGCGUUGUCCGGAUUUAUUGGGCGUAAAGAGCUCGUAGGCGGCUCAUUGCGUCGUCGGUGAAAACCCGUGGCUUAACUGCGGGCUUGCAGCUGAUACGGGCAGGCUUGAGUUCGGUAGGGGAGACUGGAAUUCCUGGUGUAGCGGUGAAAUGCGCAGAUAUCAGGAGGAACACCGGUGGCGAAGGCGGGUCUCUGGGCCGAUACUGACGCUGAGGAGCGAAAGCGUGGGGAGCGAACAGG
This 253-nucleotide ribosomal RNA is filed under the name uncultured bacterium. RNAcentral's name for it is "partial 16S ribosomal RNA". It matches the Rfam family "Bacterial small subunit ribosomal RNA", at positions 524 to 776 of the family's 1533-position model. The record is from RNAcentral.